This 269-nucleotide ribosomal RNA is filed under the name uncultured bacterium. Its description in RNAcentral is "partial 16S ribosomal RNA". It matches the Rfam family "Bacterial small subunit ribosomal RNA", at positions 793 to 1055 of the family's 1533-position model. The record is from RNAcentral.
GUCCACGCUGUAAACGAUGGGUGCUAGGUGUGGGGGGUAUCGACCCCUCCCGUGCCGAAGCUAACGCAUUAAGCACCCCGCCUGGGGAGUACGGCCGCAAGGUUGAAACUCAAAGGAAUUGACGGGGGCCCGCACAAGCGGUGGAGCAUGUGGUUUAAUUCGACGCAACGCGAAGAACCUUACCUGGGCUUGACAUGUCGGGAGUACCGAACCGAAAGGGGAGGGACUCGUAAAAUCGAGAUCCGGCACAGGUGGUGCAUGGCUGUCGU